RNAcentral lists this unclassified non-coding RNA (222 nucleotides) under Hevea brasiliensis (rubber tree). Lineage: Eukaryota; Viridiplantae; Streptophyta; Magnoliopsida; Malpighiales; Euphorbiaceae. The record is from RNAcentral.
GAGCUUGACCAGGUUGUUGGGAAGGAGAGAUGGGUAGAAGAGAGAGAUUGUUCACAGCUAUCGUACAUUGAAGCAAUUCUCAAGGAAACACUAAGGUUACAUCCUCUUGGAACUAUGCUAGCACCACAUUGUGCUAUUGAAGAUUGUAAAGUGGCUGGUUAUGACAUAGAGAAAGGAACCACCGUUCUGGUGAAUGUUUGGACCAUUGGAAGGGACCCCAAG